CCCUUAGAUGUUCUGGGCCGCACGCGCGCUACACUGACGGAGGCAGCGAGCAUGUCCUUCGCCGAGAGGUGUGGGGAAUCUUGUGAGUCUCCGUCGUGCUGGGGAUAGAUGGUUGCAAUUGUCGAUCUUGAACGAGGAAUUUCUAGUAAGCGCGAGUCAUCAGCUCGCGCUGAUUACGUCCCUGCCCUUUGUACACACCGCCCGUCGCACCUACCGAUUGGAUGGUCCGGUGAAGCCUCGGGAUUGUGGUUCUUGCCGCUUUAUUGUGGCGUGACCGCGAGAACUUGUCUAAACCUUAUCAUCUAGAGGAAGGUGAAGUCGUAACA
This 326-nucleotide ribosomal RNA is filed under the name uncultured eukaryote. RNAcentral describes it as "partial 18S ribosomal RNA". It matches the Rfam family "Eukaryotic small subunit ribosomal RNA", at positions 1470 to 1796 of the family's 1831-position model. The record is from RNAcentral.